CUGCAGUGAUGACUUUCUUAGGACACCUUUG
RNAcentral lists this non-coding RNA (31 nucleotides) under Callithrix jacchus (white-tufted-ear marmoset). RNAcentral also lists the same sequence under 2 other names. Lineage: Eukaryota; Metazoa; Chordata; Mammalia; Primates; Cebidae. The record is from RNAcentral.